CCUACGGGUGGCAGCAGUGAGGAAUAUUGGUCAAUGGGCGAGAGCCUGAACCAGCCAAGUCGCGUGAGGGAGUACUGCCCUAUGGGUUGUAAACCUCUUUUGUCGGGGAGCAAAAGCCUGCCGUUUCCGGCUUUGCGAGUACCCGAAGAAAAAGCAUCGGCUAACUCCGCGCCAGCAGCCCCGGUAAUACGGAGGAUGCGAGCGUUAUCCGGAUUUAUUGGGUUUAAAGGGUGCGCAGGCGGAUUGUUAAGUCAGCGGUAAAAUCGUGGGGCUCAACCCCAUCCAGCCGUUGAAACUGGGGAUCUAGAGUGUGCGAGAGGUAUGCGGAAUGCGUGGUGUAGCGGUGAAAUGCAUAGAUAUCACGCAGAACCCCGAUUGCGAAGGCAGCAUACCGGUGCACAACUGACGCUCAGGCACGAAAGCGUGGGUAUCGAACAGGAUUAGAUACCCGGGUAGUC
Molecule: ribosomal RNA, 458 nt
Filed under: uncultured bacterium
Lineage: Bacteria
Description: partial 16S ribosomal RNA
Rfam family: Bacterial small subunit ribosomal RNA
Source: RNAcentral